UGGGGGGUGCUAUACAUGCAGUCGAGCGAACAGAUAAGGAGCUUGCUCCUUUGACGUUAGCGGCGGACGGGUGAGUAACACGUGGAUAACCUACCUAUAAGACUGGGAUAACUUCGGGAAACCGGAGCUAAUACCGGAUAAGAUUUUGAACCGCAUGGUUCAAUAGUGAAAGACGGCCUUGCUGUCACUUAUAGAUGGAUCCGCGCCGUAUUAGCUAGUUGGUAAGGUAACGGCUUACCAAGGCAACGAUACGUAGCCGACCUGAGAGGGUGAUCGGCCACACUGGAACUGAGACACGGUCCAGACUCCUACGGGAGGCAGCAGUAGGGAAUCUUCCGCAAUGGGCGAAAGCCUGACGGAGCAACGCCGCGUGAGUGAUGAAGGUCUUCGGAUCGUAAAACUCUGUUAUCAGGGAAGAACAAACGUGUAAGUAACUGUGCACGUCUUGACGGUACCUGAUCAGAAAGCCACGGCUAACUACGUGCCAGCAGCCGCGGUAAUACGUAGGUGGCAAGCGUUAUCCGGAAUUAUUGGGCGUAAAGCGCGCGUAGGCGGUUUUUUAAGUCUGAUGUGAAAGCCCACGGCUCAACCGUGGAGGGUCAUUGGAAACUGGAAAACUUGAGUGCAGAAGAGGAAAGUGGAAUUCCAUGUGUAGCGGUGAAAUGCGCAGAGAUAUGGAGGAACACCAGUGGCGAAGGCGACUUUCUGGUCUGUAACUGACGCUGAUGUGCGAAAGCGUGGGGAUCAAACAGGAUUAGAUACCCUGGUAGUCCACGCCGUAAACGAUGAGUGCUAAGUGUUAGGGGGUUUCCGCCCCUUAGUGCUGCAGCUAACGCAUUAAGCACUCCGCCUGGGGAGUACGACCGCAAGGUUGAAACUCAAAGGAAUUGACGGGGACCCGCACAAGCGGUGGAACAUGUGGUUUAAUUCGAAGCAACGCGAAGACCUUUACCAAAUCUUGACAUCCUUUGACCGCUCUAGAGAUAGAGUUUUCCCCUUCGGGGACAAAGUGACAGGUGGUGC
Molecule: ribosomal RNA, 1023 nt
Filed under: Staphylococcus sp.
Lineage: Bacteria; Bacillati; Bacillota; Bacilli; Caryophanales; Staphylococcaceae
Description: bacterial SSU rRNA
Rfam family: Bacterial small subunit ribosomal RNA
Source: RNAcentral